This 253-nucleotide ribosomal RNA is filed under the name uncultured bacterium. RNAcentral describes it as "partial 16S ribosomal RNA". It matches the Rfam family "Bacterial small subunit ribosomal RNA", at positions 524 to 776 of the family's 1533-position model. The record is from RNAcentral.
UACGUAGGGGGCAAGCGUUGUCCGGAUUUAUUGGGCGUAAAGAGCGUGUAGGCGGCCAUGUAGGUCCGUUGUGAAAACUCGAGGCUCAACCUCGAGACGCCGAUGGAAACCAUCUGACUAGAGUCCGGAAGAGGAGAGUGGAAUUCCUGGUGUAGCGGUGAAAUGCGCAGAUAUCAGGAAGAACACCCGUGGCUAAGGCGGCUCUCUAGUACGUGACUGACGCUGAGACGCGAAAGCGUGGGGAGCGAACAGG